Molecule: ribosomal RNA, 490 nt
Filed under: uncultured bacterium
Lineage: Bacteria
Description: partial 16S ribosomal RNA
Rfam family: Bacterial small subunit ribosomal RNA
Source: RNAcentral
AUUGAACGCUGGCGGCAGGCCUAACACAUGCAAGUCGAACGGUAACAGGAAGAAGCUUGCUUCUUUGCUGACGAGUGGCGGACGGGUGAGAAAUGUCUGGGAAACUGCCUGAUGGAGGGGGAUAACUACUGGAAACGGUAGCUAAUACCGCAUAACGUCGCAAGCCCAAAGAGGGGGACAUUCGGGCCUCUUGCCAUCGGAUGCGCCCAGAUGGGAUUAGCUAGUAGGUGGGGUAACGUCUCACCUAGGCGACGAUCCCUAGCUGGUCUGAGAGGAUGACCAGCCACACUGGAACGGAGACACGGUCCAGACUCCUGCGAGAGGCAGCAGUGGGGAAUGUUUGACAAUGGGCGGAAGCCUGAUGCAGCCAUGCCGCGUGUAUGAAGAAGGCCUUCGGGUUGUGAAGUACUUUCUGCGGGGAGGAAGGGAGUAAAGUUAAUACCUAUGCUCAUUGACGUUACCCGCAGAAGAAGCACCGGCUAACUCCGUG